Molecule: ribosomal RNA, 377 nt
Filed under: uncultured bacterium
Lineage: Bacteria
Description: bacterial SSU rRNA
Rfam family: Bacterial small subunit ribosomal RNA
Source: RNAcentral
GUAGUCCACGCCGUAAACGAUGGGUACUAGAUGUUGUGGGAAUUGACCCCUACAGUGUCGAAGCUAACGCAUUAAGUACCCCGCCUGGGAAGUACGGUCGCAAGAUUAAAACUCAAAGGAAUUGACGGGGGCCCGCACAAGCGGUGGAGCAUGUGGUUUAAUUCGAUGCAACGCGAAAAACCUUACCUGGAUUUGACAUCCUCUGACAUCCCUAGAGAUAGGGCUUUCUCGCAAGAGACAGAGAGACAGGUGCUGCAUGGCUGUCGUCAGCUCGUAUCGUGAGAUGUCGGGUUAAGUCCCUUAACGAGCGCAACCCUUGUCCUUAGUUGCCACCAUUCAGUUGGGCACUCUAAGGAGACUGCCGGUGUUAAACCGGA